CCUACGGGGGGCAGCAGUGGGGAAUAUUGCGCAAUGGGCGAAAGCCUGACGCAGCGACGCCGCGUGAGGGAUGAAGGUCUUCGGAUCGUAAACCUCUGUCAGCAGGGAAGAACGGUCACUGUGCUAAUCAGCAGUGAAUUGACGGUACCUGCAAAGGAAGCACCGGCUAACUCCGUGCCAGCAGCCGCGGUAAUACGGAGGGUGUGAGCGUUAAUUGGAUUUACUGGGCGUAAAGCGCUCGUAGGCGGUAUGUCAAGUCAAGUGUGAAAUCCCGGCGCUCAACGUGGGAACUGCCUUUGAAACUGGCAGACUGGAGUGUGUGAGAGGAUAGUGGAAUUCCAGGUGUAGGAGUGAAAUCCGUAGAUAUCUGGAGGAACAUCAGUUGCGAAGGCGACUAUCUGGCACAUAACUGACGCUGAGGAGCGAAAGCGUGGGUAGCAAACAGGAUUAGAUACCCCAGUAGUC
This 465-nucleotide ribosomal RNA is filed under the name uncultured bacterium. Its description in RNAcentral is "partial 16S ribosomal RNA". It matches the Rfam family "Bacterial small subunit ribosomal RNA", at positions 338 to 795 of the family's 1533-position model. The record is from RNAcentral.